Molecule: RNA transcript, 3164 nt
Organism: Schistocerca gregaria
Lineage: Eukaryota; Metazoa; Arthropoda; Insecta; Orthoptera; Acrididae
Gene name: cysteinylglycine-S-conjugate dipeptidase-like
Exons: 6
Source: RefSeq, a predicted model, not a curated record
UGCUCUUCGAAGUAGCGAAGUUGAGUUUCCUUGUUGCAAAAAUGCAGACGGUCAUAAUCGAGACCCAGUUCUCCGACGGCCAUGACGUGUUUUUGGUUCUGGGUGGCAAAAUCCAAAAGCGAACGCAGAUAUUCAUCUGGGGAGCGCUGAUCGGUUUCGAAUUUAUGGCACAUGGUUGGGUGAACGCCGCAUGUAGUGCUUAACAUCCCAGAGUACUUUUCGAUUUUUUCAUAUGUUUGAAUGAUGCGGAUGGCCUUGUGACACGAGGACAGAUCGCCGGAAGUAAUGAUGACUUUUUUGACCGAGGCGGAUAAAGCACGAUCGAGGACGUCGGUUAGAUCUUCUGUGUGCACUUUUUCGCCGUGAUAGAUGCCCUGGAAGACAUCGUCGGUCAAGUUGGCGCCAAUGUCUGAAGCAGUGGAAAGGGAAGGACAUGGGCAAUCCAAAACACGAAGUUAGGGAUGGUACGGCAAGAGUUCUGCUGGAUGUGAGAGGGGUCGCAUUUGCCGGUGGCAAGCGCUCAAGACAGAGAACCACACGACCUAUGAGCUUUGUAAUACGAGUCACCAUAUACGUUGGAAGCGUGUUCGGUAAAAAAUAUACGUGUGUAGGAAAAUAGGCUAAAAGUGGGUUGGAUUAACCAUUUUGAUUCUACGCGCGAUGGAUCCUCAUAUAUCCAGAAAAUUCAUAAAUGGUGAGUGGGAGGACAGCAUCCUUCCCGCUCUGAAGGAAUAUGUGUCUAUUCACAAUGUGAGCCCAGCCUACGACAAAAACUGGGAAACCAACGGCUACAUAGAUCACGUCGUGGAGCUGUUUACGGGGUGGAUCCUGUCGCAAAACUUGCGCGGAAUGUACAUGGAGGUGUACCGCGAGGAGGGUCGAACGCCCUUGAUCUUGGUGGAGAUUGAGCCCAGUUCUGAGAAGUGCGCUGAUCGAACUGUUUUAUUGUACGGUCACAUGGACAAGCAGCCCCCGUUGUUGCCGUGGGACGACGGAUUGCACCCCUACAGGCCCGUGAUCCGAGACGGACUCCUGUACGGACGAGGGUGCGCGGACGACGGUUACGCACUUUUUUCUAGCGUGGCCGCAAUUCGAAACUUGCAAGUUCAAAACUUGGACCACGCCCGCUGUUUGAUUAUGAUCGAGUCCGGCGAAGAAAGCGGGUCUCCAGACUUGCCCUACUACAUGGAAAAGUUGUCUUCGAAGAUCGGGAAGCCAGACUUCAUUAUUUGCCUAGACUCUGGAUGCGGGAACUACGAGCAGUUGUGGUUGACCACGUCGCUUCGUGGACUCGUUUCUGGGACUCUGACGGUUCAAAUUCUUGAGAGGGGUGUCCACAGCGGCCACGCCAGUGGAAUUGUACCGUCCUCUUUUCGCAUAAUUCGACAGCUCCUCGACCGCAUCGAGGACCCUGAUACAGGAGUCCUGAAAAUACCAGAGCUGAACGUUGAAAUUCCGCCCGAUAGGGUGAAAGAAGCUGAGCGCUGCGCGCAGAGCUUAGGAAGUUCGAUCGCAGACGAAUUUCCUUUUAUUGCUGGCAGUGGGCCAGUCAGUACCAACUAUGCCGAGCUGCUGCUCAACCGCUGCUGGAGGCCAACACUGUCAAUAACAGGUGUCGACGGCCUGCCCAGCUUGAGCGAAUCGGGCAACGUUCUUCGUUCUCAUACCUCCCUUCAGCUUUCCGUUCGAGUGCCGCCUACAGCAGAUGCCUCGCUCGCCGCAGAGGCUCUAAAGCGCGUUCUCGAGGCAGACCCCCCCUAUGGCGCCCGUGUCAGCUUCGUUUACGAAAAGUCGGGGGCCGGAUGGAACGCAGCGACCCUGAGCCCUUGGGCCUCUCAGAGCUUCGACAACUCCUCUAUGGAGUACUUCGGUAAGCACUGCGACUACAUGGGCGAGGGCGGAAGCAUUCCCCUCAUCAAUUUAUUGGCAAACCACUUUCCACAAUCGCAGCUGUGCGUCACCGGCCUCCUGGGGCCCGACAGCAAUGCGCACGGACCAAACGAACGCCUCGACAUCGAAUACGCCAAAAAACUCACAUGUUGUAUAUCGCAAAUUAUUUAUGACCAUGCAAAUCCGCAAAUAGAAAAAAAGUAAAGAGUAUACAAUUCGGCACCAGUCCUUCCUUGCCCCUUACCCACUGUCCCUUGCCCUUACCUCCGCCCACCCCGAAACCAACCAUUACUGAGCUGCGGUGUACUAAAUGACGCUAAAAUUGUGGCACUAUUUACACGCAUUUCUAUUUAUACUCGGUAAUGCUUGUUGCCUACUUACGCUAUACAUCAUCAACAACAACCACUGGCUGGAAAUCAGCCUAGCCCUUAAGAUUUUAGGGACGGAGGGAGUUUAUCUCGUCUUUGUCGGUCUUAGACACUACGUUUUGUUCUACUCUUCUGUUGAAAAAAGAGUUUUCCACUUCCAUGAGUGCUUUGGGUGGGAACCAUGCAAAAUUUACUUUAGAAUGUCCAACGUGGUCUUCUACUGCCUGCUGUUUCAUUCUAUUUUCAUGAUGAUGUUCUAUGCCAUCUACUGCAUGUCUGUUCUUAUACAAAAUUUCAGAAAACGGCAGUCGCUGUUUGAACGGUGCACUGUCACCAUAUUCCUCGUCAUUAUGUCGAUACUCCUGUCGGCCUGUAUGCUAGUCUAUAGAUAUGGUUCCAUGGAAGCAUUACAAUACGACAUGAAGCCAGGAGCUUCCCUGUAUAUGGCGUACACCAUGAGUGGAGUGCAGUGGAUUUUGACGCUCGUCUACGUUCUCGCUGCAUUCCUCUCGUACAAAGACAACAUGGACGCGUAUGUGCCUGUCGGGCAACUGGAGCGCGGAGAAUAUGCGACCUGACGCGUGCAAAAGCGCAUAAUAUGCGCACCCUCUCCCUUUGGAUUCGUCUCCUUCAUCACAACGUCGAUUAAAAGUGAGCGGCUCACGAAGAUUAUAUCUGUAUUCGAGCGUAAGUAAAGCCAAUGUUUUUUUGUUUGUAGAGAGCGAAGCCUUGUUUGUUCGGGCGUUCUCCUCUUAGAGCAGAUAGAUGGUGCACACAUGUGCAUAUGAAGAGAAGCUCACGAUGGACGUCAAAAUACCCCUGAAGCCUUGGAGAACAGAGAGCGCCACAUGCAUACGACGUAUCGCAUGUGUGCGUUCGAACAAUACCCGUAUUGUUCGCGCAAGA